GGAUGAAUGAAUAGUUUGUCCCUGCCGAUGACGAUUUCUUGCAGCACACCUAUGUCUGAAAGCUCUUUCAGGUACUUAGAGGCCGUCUGCCGUUUGGCUAUCCCUGCCGCUUCUAGGUUGGCAAUGCGUGUAUAUGGCUGCUCAAACAGAAGAUUUACCAGUUCGUGCGUGUAGAUUCCUUGUGCGUGUGUCCGUAUGUGUUGCCGUGUCUGCUCGAACAGGCGGCGUAUCGCAUCUAUUUUCGAUACCGUCCAAUCGGCGGUGUCAGCU
RNAcentral lists this ribosomal RNA (270 nucleotides) under Neisseria meningitidis 4119. Its description in RNAcentral is "partial 23S ribosomal RNA". The record is from RNAcentral. Lineage: Bacteria; Pseudomonadati; Pseudomonadota; Betaproteobacteria; Neisseriales; Neisseriaceae.